AAAACAAAAAUGAUAAUGCGUCACAAUAAGAAACCAUGAUGUUAGGUUUAUAAAUCAUAUACCGCAAGAAAGCUUACCUGUAUAAAAUAUAUAAUCUAGAGAGCCAAUAAAAUCUCUAGUGACAUUUGUGAAUAAAGGUUCAUUUGUUGUGCUGUCAAGUCUACGUUUAUGCUGUUCAUAACCAAGACCCAUUGUCCUUGCAAAGGAUGAAUAUGCACUGACCUGAAAUUCAAAGUAAGAUGAGUCAGGAAGAAAAAACAGGGCGGAAUUUAUAGAACCAACGUGAGAGACCAUACUACUUCAUAGGUUCUGUACCUAACAACAAAGAAAAAACCAACAAAAUAAAAAGAAUUACAUUAUGGAUUGUACUUGAAUGAAUGAAUACAUUACCAGUGGCAACUGGUGAACCAACUUGCUGUGAGGGCGCAAAAUAUUAAGUGGGUCAACGGCUAAAUCGGGAUGUGAAGGAUCUACCUUCCCCAUUGCAAGAAGUGCAUGGGGAGCACUACAACAAAGUAUGAAUACAACUUAGAAACAAAUUACACAUAAUGAUAAAAAAAUUCCCUUGUGGAGCAAAAAUGCAUUGAAAUUAAGCAUAAAGAGAGGGAAUCCAACCUUCCUGGAACUGAGUUGAAGUCUCCACAAACCAACAUUGGAAUGUCUGCACUAGCAGCUAUUUUCUCCAAUCCUUUUAACAGUGUAUGCACCUAACGGAGGGAGGAAGAAAAUUUUUAACCAUUACACUCAUCAUAAACACAAUGUAAAACAUGAACGUUUGAAGGGAAUGCCUUACCUGCCAGAGCUUGACAUCCUUUAAAUCUUGCUGCACAUUUACAUGAGUAUUUGCCUAGCAUCCAUAAGAAAUUAUAUUUUAGCAAUAGCAAUUAUUUUGAUAAAAAUUGUAUUUUGAAUUCAAACCUAAGCAAGAAAAGUAAGGCAGACAAUACCAUCUCUUUCUUAAAGGAAUAAUAAUUCACCCUUAAACAAAAUUCAUUUAAAAGAGAAUCAACAAAAUUUUGAAGCCAAACAUUUAUGCCAGUCUUUCAAUGAGACUAGAGUUUAUUUAGAGAAAAAAAGUAAACACCUCAGCAUCUGCCUAAUCCACAGUUCUUGAACCAGCCUAAAAGGUAAAAACACAUAGCUAAGAAAAUAGGCCAUCAAAAAUCAAAGUGGAAGCUGAUUGAGAAAGGAAACAUGCUUAAAUGAAACAAACAAAUUUCCAACACAUAUUACCAUCCUUAAUAAUAAUGGAAUACUAAGAAGAAAAUCAAGUGGAAAAAGCUGCUUCAGAAGGAGCAUGCUUAAAAGACACAAACAUGCCUAACAUAUAUUGGGAUGACCACUCUGACUAAAAUGGAAUAUUAAGAAGAAUAAUUCCACAGAGCAGAUUCUAGAUGCAUCAAGGACCAAAAGGGAAGAGACAACCACCUAAGUGAUCAAGGAACAUGAAUAAAUCAAAAAAUAGAAAAAACAUACCACACAUAGAAGCUGCCUUUUUCCUGGAUUAUCAACAGGUUGAUUGUUAACCUUUGCCUCUAGAACAACUAUUAGUGCAACAUUAUCCUAAAAGACAAAAUGGAAACUCGGUAAGCAUCAUUUCUAUGAGAUACUAUUACUAUCUUCGGCAUACAAAAGGUGACAAGUUAUGUUCAACAAGUCACCUUAACAAGCCGAUUCAAGGCAGUUUUCCUCUGGGUGGUGGGGAUCAUGGCAUCUGUUAAUGACUGUGCAGCCUUAUUAAAUUCAACCUGUGUGCAUAUAUCACUGAGUUGAGUAUAAAAUUAUUGGAAACACUACAAAGUACACAUAAAAUAAUCCCUAACCUCAUAUUUCUUCACAUGUGAAAAUCUGUCUCUACGAAAAAAUGUUGCACAACCAUCAAUUUUAUUGUUGCUAUCAUUGUAUACCUGCAAGUUCACAAAGCAUAAUUAAACAUUCGAAACGAAUUUAAAAAUUCUGUCAAAACAAACUAAAACACGGCAACCACCUCAUUUGUUUUUCUCUUGUAAAGACCAUAAUAGCCAUGUUUAUCCAGUUCUGGGGAAAAAAAUUCCUCAUAAUGGUCACUUUGAACCUGCAACAGUACAAUAAAACAAAUAGUACUUUAUUCAAAACAAUUUUUAAAAAAAUAAAAUUAGAAAUAAAUUUAGAAAAACAGAUGUCAUUAAAGAUCAGUAUAGAUAACAGCCAAAAGCAGAUGAACAUACCUCCUGCAGACAAAUAAUAUCUGCACGGUAACCAACUAUUUCUCGUAACAAAUUUUGCCGGCGAUAUGGCCACGAAAGAGCCCAUGAAGGGCAAUAAUUGUAAAGAUCGCUUGAGGCAUAUGCAUCAGAUAAUAUGUUAUAUGAUAGAACUGUAAAAGAUCCUGAAGAUGUUAUACGCCCAUCAGCAUCUAAAUGCCCCAUCGGAUCAACAGGUAUCAUUCGUCGUGGGCUAGGCACUCAAACUUCAGGACAUGACCAAUGUCAUCGGCAGUAGGGGUGUAUGUCUUAGAGCGUCCAACUUCAAACCACGUUUCACCACCGCUUCGCUGUGUAACUGCUGCCGGAUACAAUGGUGCAGAUCCAUUUGUCAAGCUAGCACUUGAUGCAGAGGCAGAUAAGCUAGUAUUUGAUGAUCCAGAGCCAGAAUUAUUAAAACGCCCAAAUAACUCCUCCUCUUCAUUUCCAUUUUCAUUGAUUGCACUUGCAGCACGGUCAUGUAAGACACGAUGAUGUUGCCAUGCAUCUGAAAAACACUUUGAUGUGCAAUGGUAACUCUUGGCAACAGGUAUUUUGGCCUUAACACAACCUAGACACUGCAGGGUGGCUUGCUCUGAUGGGUGUAUGCUACAAACAGCAACCUUUUUAUCACUUUGUACACGAUACCUGCCAUAAGAAAUGUCGAAAUGAUCAUGUCAAAAAACAGAGCAACUAUUUGGAGAAUCACCUUUGUAAAAAAACUAUGUAUAGAAGAAUACUAUUAAGACGUAGAGAUUACUUUUGGUGAUAAACAAAGUGACACCAUAAACAUUCUUGCAAAUCAUAAAUUAAAAGAACACUUAACAUUUUUCUUGCAUUUGAGGCAACAGUAAACAGCUCCCCAUUGUAAAAACUGAAAGUGAUGGUCACAUUCUCCUUAAAAAAUGCAUUUUGCAUGCCAAUUUUCCACAAAAAUUAACACUAAACUAGAUUUGUUUAAGAAAUAACUAAACAUCAGCACAAACUAUCAAAGAAAUCAUUUGCAAUACCUAACAUAAAAUUUGGUAUUUAUGUUGAGCUUUUCAUUACAUCUAGAACCUAUAUGCUAUAUUUACUAGUAAAUGAACUCGUUAAAAUACCUUUAAGUGACUAACAUAAACAUAUGCACUUAAAAUCUCAAACAUCACAAUGAUACACUGGAAGACAAAUCCACAGUCCUGUAUUAGAGAUUAUGAAACAAAAUCUAAAUGUAGUGAUUUGUUGAGAACAUAUCACAAUGUAACAAAGUUGAAGUCCCAGGUUCCCUAUAUAUCUAUAUAAUUUUGUGCAGGCCAAUACUGUCUAGAGGACUAGCUGACAAGGGCAUAGAUGCAAAUACCCAAGGAGCCAUAUAUGACUACAUCAUGCAGUACAGGAAUGGCGUAGCAAUAUCAGAACAAAUUCUUUGGACAGCCAGACAGGCAUCUGUGAGCACCACAGCACAAUCAUAAAAAUUUCUUUUGAUACUGCACCCAAUUCUCUAAGCACUACAUACUUCAGUCAAUUCAUAUUGUGCUGAACAGGUUUUGUACUACUAUUAUUAUUUCUGUUUCUUAACUUUUGUUUAAAAUGAAAACAACAAUACUUACAUGAAGAUAUAAUAAAAAAGAAGCAAAAAUGAUAUCAACUAAUGGUGAAACCAAACAAUAUGAAAUCCCGCUUAAUAAGAGUAAUCCGACUGCUUUCUACAUAAAAUGAACUUUCAAUUCAUAUUAUCAGAAAAGAAUACACAAUAUAUGAAACAAGCCAAGACCUAGGAGCAAACACUAUCUCCAGAUAACCAAAGUAAACAAGCAGAUAAAGUAAUCCUCCGACACGCACAAUGAAGCUCAAAUACCCACAUUACACAUGUAUACGCAACUACCCCCAAAGUCAUCAAAAGCAAAGGCAAUUCAAAUAGCACCCAGAAAAGGUCAAAUUUUUGUAGAAAAGGAAGAGGGGGGAGGGGAAGAAGCUGCAAAUAGGGGCAGUGCACUAACCACUUGUAACGCAAGAAAUGGCCAUCUAAGGGAUUGGUCUCGGAAACAUCAUCCGUGGUAACGGUCUUGUCUGGGCGGCGGAGGAGCACGUAAGGCGUGAGCUCACAUCCUACAAUGGGAAUAUCGGAAGGGAGGUGCACUCGCAGCACGCUCAGCAUGCUUCACUCUUUGACCCUAUCAACACCAAUGUUCUUCUUCUUCUCCUGCUGCUACUGUUGCUGCUUCUGACGCUACCGCCCGUAACUGUAUCUGUAACUGUAACUGUAAUACGACGUUUGCAGGGGCAGAUACCUGACGGAUCCGCCAUUUACAUGGCUCGAGUACCCGCCAGCCUUGACGGAGGCCCAAUCCGAAGAAACCCUAGGCGGAAAAUUAGGAGAUCUUACGAGAAUAGGAGAUUGGAGAGGGGAAUCGAUGAGGGGAGAGAGAAAGUGUGGGUUUUAGAGAGAGAAAGAGAAGAGAGAUCGAAGAUUAGGGUUUUACUGAGGGAGGAUGUGGAGGGAACAGUGGAAGUAAUCGCAAAAUGGGUUCGAGUUUGUGUCUUGUCGAGUUGUCUUCUGCCUUUGGGGGGAAACACUUAGACAAGAGAGAGAAACUGAGAAAGAUACCAUUAUUCUUUUUUAUAUCAAAAAAUAGGAAAUAUAUAUUAUCACUUUUUAAUUAAUAACCUUAUUUUCUUGCCAUGUUAUUAGUGUAAAAAAUUUUAUACGUGCAUCCAAUUAUAUAAUAUUAUAUCAGUAAAAAUAACUACUUUUCACAUUGACGUAAAUGAUCAUAAAAAAACAUAUAAUUACACAACUGUAUAAAACAUUUUAUAUUAUCAGUGCAUUAAAUUAAACUCUAUUAUUACAUGUUAAAAAUUAUGAAAGGAUUAGUUGCCAUUUUUAAAUUUUAACUAAUAUUUCAACUAAUAAUGUUCUAAGGAGCAAAAUUUAUGUGUUUGUAAAUAUCCCUUAUCAAGAGUAAGGUAUAUCGCGCACCAAACGAUAUCAAUCAUCCACGUUAGUAUCACUAAUCAUGAGUGGGGAUAGAACAUUGGUACUUAUAAAAUGAAUAUUGUUACUCCCAUCUUACUAUCAUACCAUCAUUACAAUCUUCACUGCUUACUUAACGAGUGUUUAAUAUCACUAUCUGAAAGUGAUCAAAGAUUAACAGUUGUAAUAAUUACCAGAAGAAACAGGUCAAUAUAAAAUUAACUACAAUACUAUUACGUUCGUUUUCUUUAUUCCUUUUCAACGAGCAGUUAAUGUUACAGGGGACAUGCACUACAAGCCGAUAGAAAUAAAGUGCAAAAGAGUUUCAGAGUUGAACUAGAAGAACCCCCUCCUUCACUUGGUGGAAUUUUUAACCAGUGCAAUAAUUAUAUUCACACGUCGUUGAUGGUAUCAUGAGGUUCAUUCCGACUUCGUUAGUUCGUUCAUCAUCAGAGUAUCUUUGAAAUAUCGUCUAUACUUUAUUGGAUCUUUGGCCAUUAAUACAUGAGCAAUAAUAGUAGUAAUCUCUUUACAAUUAUACUAUGGCACAAACUUUAAUUUUCAAUACUCAAGUACCUAUGUACAACUUGAAAUAACUUGCAUAAAAUCAAAUUAACUAAAUAGUAAUACGAUAAAAGUUUAACACAAUUAUAUAUUUAUAUGCUGCCAAGUGAGCAGAAGAAAUUGACUUUUGUACUUAAUAUCCAUAAUCUCAACAAAAUAUAAUAAAAAUAGAAGAGAGAGCUUUGUGUCUACAUGACAAUGCAUUAUCAACUGUCAAUUUAUAACUCUUUACAUUAACAAUGGACAGAAAUUAAAUAAUAGAAAUGCAUCAUUACAGUUACAUCAUUCUAAUUUAAGAAAAUGCUGAUGAUAUUCUUGCAAAUAAUUUGUAUUUGCUAUCUACCAGAAAUUAUGAGGUAGAGCCGAAAACCUACUAUUCCAUUAAUUAUGCCCAUGCUAGGCAACUCACCUCGUAUGUGACAAAAUUCACAAACUUAAAUCAAUACGCCAUCCUAAACUAGUAAACUUUCAGGUUAGCAAAUGAGAUAAACAGUUUUCAAGAUAUAUUAUAAUUUAAUGGAGACAGAUAUCUAUAAGCCCUGGACUCAGCACUCAGCUGUCACUUGAUCAGAAGGACUUCAAGAAUGGAAAGAUUGAUUAGUUAGUUGAGUUUUAGAUGUAUAAAGCCCGUGGGAAAAUAAGAAAGCUUUCACUUUAUAAAAAAUAUAUAUAUUAGGGAAGAGGAGGGUGAAGUAAGCAAAUCAGUAAAAGGGAUGAUAAAUUUUCUAUGAAACAAAGGUAGCAUGAUACAAAGCAGAUCAUUGCAAGGACCCCCACAUGGGAGAUACCUGGGAAAAAAGACAAAGGCCAUGAUCUACCACUCUUACAAUAUCUUGUCAACUAAAUGCUUGAUUCUUUCAACCUUUUUGUUUACGUAUAUCCGGAUCCGACCUACAAAAAUUGAGAGCCAUCACCACAAAAAAAGUAGUAAAGCAUAAAGACAUAAAAAGGACCAAAACUCUACCCAAUGUGGUAGUGGAACAAAACGAUCAAAGACAAGAACGAUUCAAUGUGGGAAUGGAAACAAGACACAUCAAGGACGAGUACAGACACAAUAAGAUUGUAAAAAUCAUCAGUGAAACAGUCAAAUCCUGGAGAAAAAAAUAUCAAUGGCAUAUAAGAUAGGGGAAAUCCUUCAUCACACCAAGAGAUUACUCCAGCUGAUAAAAGUCCUUCAACUUUUAAAGAGACUCAAACAAAACUGGUACAUACCUAUUGGGCUCAGUGUUCAUAUUUAACAAGAGGAGAAAACUUAAGAGAUUGCCAGUCAUUAAGGGUCUAUCUAUGUGGGAAUUAUGAUAAAAUGGAAGGAGAAGUUUUAGGUCUAUGUCCCCUACUUAGCACGUCUCUCAACAUCUAACAAAAUUAUUAUUUUUAAAAAAUUAUGAAUAAAAUAAAAUAUAUACACCAACACAAAUCAAAACAUAAGAGGGUGUAAAGGACAAUUCAUUUAUCAAGGGAAUAAGGAGUGAUAUUAGUAAAUAGUACCUUAUGAGUCAGCGCCUAGAUCUAUUUUUGCAGCAGCGGAACUCAGCUAACAGAGCUAUAUGAUCUGAGGACCAUUCGGGUGAAGGAAGAGCUGUAUCCUUCCUCAAACUUUCCUCGUCCAAUAGCUCCAACAACGACUCCACAACCAAGGAAUCCGCUGAAAAAACAAAUGAUGUUACUUCACAAGCAAGAAACCAGGAUGUUAGAUUUAUUAGUAAGAUAAUAUGGCAAGAUAGCUUACCUGUGUAGAAUAUGUAAUCUAGAGAUCCAAUAAAAUCUCUAGUGACAUUGGUGAAUAAAGGUUCAUUUGUUGUGCUGUCCAAUCUCCGUCUAUGCUGCUCAUACCCAACACCAAUUGUUCUUGCAAAAGAUGAAUAUGCACUGACCUAAAACAGAAAGGAUGCCACACCCAAAAAGUUAAAGUUAAUAAGAAAAGUUGACAAGGAAAUACAGAAUUAAAGCGAGAGAGAUUAUAUAUAACUUCAAAUAUACUUGA
RNAcentral lists this long non-coding RNA (7723 nucleotides) under Arachis ipaensis. RNAcentral describes it as "long non-coding RNA (AIPA_LNC001605)". Lineage: Eukaryota; Viridiplantae; Streptophyta; Magnoliopsida; Fabales; Fabaceae. The record is from RNAcentral.